Molecule: transfer RNA, 74 nt
Filed under: Acanthisitta chloris (rifleman)
Lineage: Eukaryota; Metazoa; Chordata; Aves; Passeriformes; Acanthisittidae
Rfam family: tRNA
About the family: Transfer RNA (tRNA) molecules are approximately 80 nucleotides in length. Their secondary structure includes four short double-helical elements and three loops (D, anti-codon, and T loops).
Source: Rfam by way of RNAcentral
CCUAGUGUAGCAGAGCUCAGCAAAUGCAAAAGGCUUAAGGCCUUUACCUAAAGGUUCAAAUCCUCUCCCCAGCU